AUUGAACGCUGGCGGCAUGCCUAACACAUGCAAGUCGAACGGCAGCACGGCAGUAGCAAUACUGUGGGUGGCGAGUGGCGGACGGGUGAGGAAUACGUCGGAAUCUGCCCAGUCGUGGGGGAUAACUAGCCGAAAGGUUAGCUAAUACCGCAUACGACCGAGAGGUGAAAGCGGGGGACCGCAAGGCCUCGCGCGAUUGGAUGAGCCGACGUCGGAUUAGCUAGUUGGAGGGGUAAAGGCCCACCAAGGCGACGAUCCGUAGCUGGUCUGAGAGGAUGAUCAGCCACACUGGAACUGAGACACGGUCCAGACUCCUAC
Molecule: ribosomal RNA, 318 nt
Filed under: uncultured bacterium
Lineage: Bacteria
Description: bacterial SSU rRNA
Rfam family: Bacterial small subunit ribosomal RNA
Source: RNAcentral